AUGGCAGGCAAGGGCGCCAAGGCGACGGCCGCAAAGGCGGCGGAGAAGGAAAAGGGGAAGAAGGCCCCCGGCUCCCGCUCCUCCCGUGCCUGUUCCCAGGAGGAGCCAGUUCCAAAGAAAGAUGUGUAUCAAUUGUUUGCUGAGAAGGUUCGGGAUAACAAGCAGCUGGAAUCGAGAUGGGCUGUCAUGCAAGAAACUCGCGUUGAGUAUUUUCGUGGAAAAGAUUUUACUACCUUCAUCAAGAAUCAUCCAGAAGUUGGGGAAAUUUUAGGGCCGGAUAAAGAUAUGGAAGCUGAAGAUAUUGUCAACACUUUGCUUACCAAGAACCUCGUAAUAAGGUGUGACCGAGUUUGGAAAACUGUGAGACCAGGAAAGAAAAAGUUAUCAUCCUGGCCUGCUCAUUUGGAGAUACAUCAGGAACAAGUAUUCACUGAAAAUGAUGGUUUUUACGCUUGGAUGUUUCUCAAAAGACGGACCUUGUGGCAGACGAUUCUUUCAUUUAUCUGGCCUGUCUUUGCGUUGGCAGUCUGCUUAUUUCCAGUUUACCCAUACCAAUGCAAGAUUGUGGUACUGUACUCUUGCGCUGGAGCUUUACUGUUCAUUGUAUCCCUGCUUUUAUUAAGAGCUGCCAUCUUUGGCGUACUAUGGGUUCUUCUUGGAAAACGGGUGUGGUUCUUCCCCAAUAUAAAUGCAGAGGAGACCACAUUUAGAGAACUCGUUCGGUUUUGGCCUGUGAAGGAUGAGGGAGAGCGACCAAAGUGGACGUCAAGACUUAUCUAUGCUACUGUUGCCUUAUUGGUGAUAUUGCUGCUUAGACAUCACGCUCCAGAUGAAGCAGCUAGAGCGAGGUACCAAAAGAAGGUUUCUAAUAUAAUUGAUGAUGUCCUUGAGUGGUCUCCGAAGUUGGCUCUGUCUGGGAUGAUGGAUAAACAUACUGAGGAUAAUGCGACAGAAACUAGCAAUUACACCAGCCAUGCCACAACGAGUACUGAAGAAUCUACAGAUGCAGCCGAGGAUGAGGAUGCAGAUGAAACCCAAGGUGCUGCUGAUGAUACGAGAACAAGAUCUAGUGAAGUUUAA
This 1080-nucleotide ribosomal RNA is filed under the name Triticum aestivum (bread wheat). Its description in RNAcentral is "partial small subunit ribosomal RNA". The record is from RNAcentral. Lineage: Eukaryota; Viridiplantae; Streptophyta; Magnoliopsida; Poales; Poaceae.